GCCGCGGGAGGGAGGGAUAACGAGGUAGAGGGGGCCGGGACUUCGGGAGGAGGAGGUAACACUGGAGGAGAGGUGGUAACAGGGGGCUGGGUUAGGGCGGUGAGGGCAGAGAUUAGGGACGGCAAAUCGGCGGCGGGAGGGAGGGAUAACGAGGUAGAGGGGGCCGGGACUUCGGGAGGAGGAGGUAACACUGGAGGAGAGGUGGUAACAGGGGGCUGGGUUAGGGCGGUGAGGGCAGAGAUUAGGGACGGCAAAUCGGCCGCGGGAGGGAGGGAUAACGAGGUAGAGGGGGCCGGGACUUCGGGAGGAGGAGGUAACACUGGAGAAGGGGUUGGAGAGGUGGUAACAGGGGGUUGGGUCAGGGCGGUGAGGGCAGAGAUUAGGGACGGCAAAUCGGCCGUGGGAGGGAGGGGUAACGAGGUAGAGGGGGCUGGGACUUCGGGAGGAGGAGGUAACACUGGAGGAGAGGUGGUAACAG
Pelobates cultripes (western spadefoot toad) is the source of this 478-nucleotide non-coding RNA. Lineage: Eukaryota; Metazoa; Chordata; Amphibia; Anura; Pelobatidae. The record is from the annotation of a GenBank genome assembly.